This 429-nucleotide ribosomal RNA is filed under the name Bacteroidota bacterium. Its description in RNAcentral is "Bacteroidetes bacterium partial 16S ribosomal RNA". It matches the Rfam family "Bacterial small subunit ribosomal RNA", at positions 355 to 776 of the family's 1533-position model. The record is from RNAcentral. Lineage: Bacteria; Pseudomonadati; Bacteroidota.
UAGGGAAUCUUCGGCAAUGGGGGGAACCCUGACCGAGCAACGCCGCGUGAGUGAAGAAGGUUUUCGGAUCGUAAAGCUCUGUUGUUAAGGAAGAACGAGUGUGAGAAUGGAAAGUUCAUACUGUGACGGUACUUAACCAGAAAGGGACGGCUAACUACGUGCCAGCAGCCGCGGUAAUACGUAGGUCCCGAGCGUUGUCCGGAUUUAUUGGGCGUAAAGCGAGCGCAGGCGGUUAGAUAAGUCUGAAGUUAAAGGCAGUGGCUCAACCAUUGUAGGCUUUGGAAACUGUUUAACUUGAGUGCAGAAGGGGAGAGUGGAAUUCCAUGUGUAGCGGUGAAAUGCGUAGAUAUAUGGAGGAACACCGGUGGCGAAAGCGGCUCUCUGGUCUGUAACUGACGCGGAGGCUCGAGAGCGUGGGGAGCGAACAGG